This 258-nucleotide ribosomal RNA is filed under the name uncultured bacterium. Its description in RNAcentral is "partial 16S ribosomal RNA". It matches the Rfam family "Bacterial small subunit ribosomal RNA", at positions 96 to 354 of the family's 1533-position model. The record is from RNAcentral.
UGGCGGACGGGUGAGUAACGCGUGGGUAACCUGCCUCAUACAGGGGGAUAACAGUUAGAAAUGACUGCUAAUACCGCAUAAGCGCACGGUUUCGCAUGGAACAGUGUGAAAAACUCCGGUGGUAUGGGAUGGACCCGCGUCUGAUUAGCUGGUUGGCGGGGUAACGGCCCACCAAGGCGACGAUCAGUAGCCGGCCUGAGAGGGUGAACGGCCACAUUGGGACUGAGACACGGCCCAAACUCCUACGGGAGGCAGCAG